GUUCCAAGAUGAGGGUUCCCACAGGGUCAACCUGGUAAGGCCCGUGGUAGACGACCACGUUGAUAGGCCGGAGGUGUACGCACGGCAACGUGUUCAGCCGACCGGUACUAAUCGGCCGAGGGCUUGGGACAU
This 132-nucleotide ribosomal RNA is filed under the name Actinomycetota bacterium. Its description in RNAcentral is "partial 23S ribosomal RNA". It matches the Rfam family "Bacterial large subunit ribosomal RNA", at positions 2796 to 2925 of the family's 2925-position model. Lineage: Bacteria; Bacillati; Actinomycetota. The record is from RNAcentral.